UAAGAAGAUUUCGCUAAUAUAACUAAGAUUUAAAUUUUACUUAUUUUUUUAAGCAAACUAGUGCAAUUACUAAGCUUAAUUUGAGAAACCAGUUAAGCUAAUAAAAUUGAGGAAAGAUGGCUUCACGUUUAUUUUAAGAAAAUUCACUCAAUUAUGUGGAUUUGAUUGAGAUGUUUGCAUUUGAAUCUCAACAACGGCAGUGAUCAGACGACAUUUUGAAGGAGCAGAUCAACAGCGAGCAUGUUAAGAGUUUAAUGAAGAAAACUUUCGCAGUGUUUUCCCACUAAAGAGGAGCAGUUUAUUGAGGCAGAUUUUGAUAAAGAGAAUGGGUGCCAUACAUCAGACCUCACAUUAAAUCAGGGAUGAAACGAGAGAUGUCGUCCUCUGUUGCUGGUCUAUCUGUAUGAAUAAGAGGAAGAGCUCAUCCAGGAGUGCAAUUGUGGGAAUGCACAGG
Long non-coding RNA from Danio aesculapii, 454 nucleotides. RefSeq lists it as uncharacterized. The record is from RefSeq and is a predicted model, not a curated record. NCBI's taxonomy places the organism in Eukaryota, Metazoa, Chordata, Actinopteri, Cypriniformes, Danionidae. The transcript has 4 exons.